AAUUUUCAAGUUUUUUGGAUUAAAGCAUCACUAAUUUUUAAGUUUCAAAUGGACUUUGUCCAAAAAAUGAUCUCUCGAUCAUUUCUCAAAGCCGAAGUCAAGGGAACGACUUCUUCUUGCCUUACUAUCCACAAGAAGUGGAUGGGGCUGCUCCACCCUUAAUCAGAGGUCGAGAGUUUGACCCUGGGUAUGAAGAAAUUUUGUUGGGAGCGCUGUCACCUUAAUGGGCCCUGCAACGCACAAUCCGAAUUAAUCGGGGUUCCAAUGCGAGCACCAAACACCGAAUGGGAAAUAAAAAAAAACCCACAAACAAAUAAAGAUAGCCGAUAGGAAAAAGACUAAAAAGAGUACCGGAUUUGCUUAUAUAUUCCACACCGGCAGAAAUAUUGGACAAUACUUACUAUAUAAUCUCGACGUGUCGUAAGUUGUAUGGGACUAAGAGUUGAUGGGACUUUCAUAGACGCAGCCUCGAUCGUCAACGGUGCUUUGGGCUUAAAGCAAGUACAAGUCCGCCUGUGUUUGAGGGAUUGAGUAAGGCGUCAUUUCAAGGAAUGAGAGCGCUCCUUCCUGCCAGUCAAAAUGGAUGGACGACGUUUUCGGGACGACUUGUCCAAAGUAAUCGUUUGGUAAAAUGGUUAGUCGUUGGUGGAACCAUCAUCUUUUUUAGAUAACGAGAAAUCGGUAGUGAGCCAGCACCCAUAUUCCAUAUAAAAACGAGGCUAAAUUCUAUAUGUGUAACCAUCUCUUUAAAUACUUAUUCGAUAUAUCUCCUUUUCGAUCCAUAAGUUUCUUUUAACAUAUGUAUUUCUUCUCAUCACAUAUUUGAAUUAUUUCAAUUUCACUUUCCUCAUCUUAACGAUCA
Molecule: long non-coding RNA, 862 nt
Organism: Capsicum annuum
Lineage: Eukaryota; Viridiplantae; Streptophyta; Magnoliopsida; Solanales; Solanaceae
Exons: 2
Source: RefSeq, a predicted model, not a curated record